GCGGACAUAGCUCAGUUGGGAGAGCGUCAGACUGAAGUAUGGGUCUUGACCCGUUGGAAACUUCAAUCACUUGAUCUGAAGGUCGUGUGUUCAAUCCACACUGGCCGCA
This 109-nucleotide transfer RNA is filed under the name Colletotrichum orbiculare MAFF 240422. RNAcentral describes it as "tRNA-Phe for anticodon GAA". It matches the Rfam family "tRNA". From Rfam's summary of the family: Transfer RNA (tRNA) molecules are approximately 80 nucleotides in length. Their secondary structure includes four short double-helical elements and three loops (D, anti-codon, and T loops). The record is from Rfam by way of RNAcentral. Lineage: Eukaryota; Fungi; Ascomycota; Sordariomycetes; Glomerellales; Glomerellaceae.